CUUGGAUAUAAAGUCAUACAAAAGUACAUAUUCUGGCUCACUGCCAAAAAAACUACCCAGGGGUCCUCCUAGGUCAGCACAAAGAAGAAAUUGUCUCAGAUCCCUUCAAGUUUAUCCUCUUUAGUCCGAGGAUAUGCUGGUGGCUAAAAAGGAGUAUGUUGCCUGCAGCUGACAGCAAAAAUGUGAUCCAACAGAGAGCUGAAGCAAUACUGAGAUCAACAACAGUUUAACUAGGCCCCCUUAAGGUAUUGGAAGCUGUGAGGUCUCACAACCUUCUGUUCUCCAGGCUGAAUAUCCCCUACUUUCUCAGUAUGUCUUCACAGAAGUGUUCUUAUCCUACAGGAUUUUCAAGUUGCUAGGACUGCAGGCUGAAUUACACCUCAUUCAAUCAGAUUAUGUUCCAGACCUCAUUCAAUCAUCAGUCUCCUGGAGACUCUUGCCCAGAAGCUGGAAGAUUUCUUUAAGAGCAUCACUCAGUGCAGCUCCCCAGCUGAAGUCUGGCCAGUGCUGUGUAGGAUGAAGAGAUGAUCCUGCCAGUGCUGCAGACUAAUUUUCUAUUUUUUCACCUCAGUGCGAUGUUUUUCUUUUUUUGUAGUAUCAUGAUGUUGUUGACUCAUGUUCAGCUUGUGAUCCAUAGUAACUGCCAGCUCCUUUUUUUCAGAGCUGAUUAGUCAUCUGCCAUCCAGCACCUGUGCAGCUGACAGUCCUUAUCUAACUACAGUAAAUUCUGCACAUCUCCUUUGAAUAUUUUAUUUCUGUUGGACCGUGCCUCUGAUUUAUCAUGAUCAUUUUGAGUUCUAUAUCAGCCUUUCAAUAUGUUUUCAUAUCUGCAAAUGUGAUAAUCCCAGAGCAGAUAUGACAAUACUGAGUUGCAAUGGACUCCAGGUAUAUCCUGUGGGACUAUACAUGAUUCAUAGCUCCACCCUGAUAAAAGCUGCACGUAACUCCCCUGGUAUGGUUUGCCAGGCCAUUCUACACCCUUGGAUAGCAGCUUCUUGUAGUUCAUAUGUAUCCAGGUUAAGUGUUAUAAUGCCAUGUCCCACAAACUGAAAAUUGUACCAGCAUCAUAGAACCUGUUAUUGUCCACACAGAGUCAUUGGUGUUUGACUGAGGAAACAAACCCACCUGUGUAAACUCCGGUAAAAAUGGCAAAUAAUUUUAGACUGUAGAAGAUUUCAGGCAUUGAGGCAUUGAGGUACCAAGACAUAACGAAGAAAUAUUAGAAAGAAUAACGAAAAAAAAUAGCUUUAAAAUUAUCACUCAUUCUUAGCACUGACUCAACUUUCAUCACUUAACCUCCACUGCUCUGAUGCAAAAGUAAGACUGAAGUCUGGUAGAACCAAGCAGAGUGGUUGGUUCUACUGGACUUCAAUCGUGUUUUUGUGUAAGGUAGGUAGGAAAGCAAAGGUGUAGGUAAGGAAAUUUUGCUUUUCCAAUAGAAAUUCUUCAGCUUUGUAUACCAUUACAAUGUUCAGUUAGAGAAAAAUACAAUGAAGACGAUAAAAAACCAGGUGGGACUACAAAACAUGUUAUGGGAUGGAUCCAUGGUAGAAUGUAUGGAGAGAUUACAGAACCUGGAUGGAAAGGAGGAAUAGAUAUUAAAUGAACAAAUGUUAUAACUUUUUUGGAUAAAGGAGAUCUCCAGCAUAAUGCAGCAAGGUACUAGGGGAUUAUACCCAUUUUACAGAGAGAAGAAUGUUAUGCCAUGACUUGUCCUAUUGAAGUUGGCAGGAGUAUGGCAGGGGUGCCAAUAUUCCCAGUCUUUCCAUGAUGAAACUCCUGUUUCCUUCACAAAGUCCUGCACUGUCCUGAGUCUAUGUCUUUUCUCACUCUGCAAUUGCCAUGUAACACUUUGUGGUCUGCUCUUAGCACUUCAAAAGGCCAGCUGCUCCUUCAGAUCAUCAACUAGCUUUUUAUCUAUAAAUAGAGUGUAGCUACUGUCCCGGGGAGAUUCUGAGCUGGAAUAUAUUCAAAUAUAUUUGACAGGUUUUCUGGGUCUCACUCUUGGAUUUAAUAUAAAUUUUCGGAUAGGAUAAAAGUCAGCAGCACAUCCAAAUAUUCUUAAAGCAUCUUAUGACAAUGAUGAUUAUUCUAGUUUACAUACGCUUUCACUCAUUAAUGUGCUAGUACACAUUAAAUGCCUGUUUUCAAAAAGAAAAAAUAUGAACAGUCUCUUUUGCUGUGUAAAAAUUUGGACCUUUAGAGGACAUACAUGCCUUUUGUAUCCUUUUGUGUAUUGUAUCCAUAACCUUAUGCAACCCCUUGUUGAAACCCAAUGAGAAUGACAUGCAGUGAUAGUUUUGUCUCGAGCUCCAUAUCUUCCAGGCUUGAGUUUCCUGUGGUAGUGUGAGAAGAGACACAGCAGAUGGCAGUGCAUGACAUCAAUUAUCUCUGCUGCAUACUCCCAUUCGUUCCCAGUGGUAAUUGUCCAGGGCUGGUGAAAUUGCACCGGAGGGCACCCCCCACUCCCAAACGCCAUGUGGAGGAGAGGAGGACACUUUUGUGAACCAGUGCACUCUGAGGCAUCACUUUUGCUAGGUGGAUCAAGACUGCUGAAUCAGCCUGCCCCCAGAUCUAAGCAGCUUUAGCACUGGAAAGAGACUCUGAAGGCCUCCUACGUACAGACAGAUUGCAGCUUUCAGCAGAAGCCAGUCCCGGGGUAUUUCUGUUUUCACCCAUGCUUUUAUCUUCCACAACAUGAUUCAUGUUCUUAAUUGCUUUUCUGCUUCAAAACCUAGGCAAACUGCAUGUCAAAUUAAUUUUUUUCCAUAUAUCCUCAUAGUUAUGUUUUUGGGUGAAUGUUAGAGGACUUGUUCUAGGUGCUUUGUGACAUUUGAACUGAUAUUUGGCACAGAAAUAAUGAUGGCAUUAAAUGAAAAUUUCCUUA
This is a long non-coding RNA of Haemorhous mexicanus (house finch), 2887 nucleotides long. RefSeq lists it as uncharacterized. The record is from RefSeq and is a predicted model, not a curated record. Lineage: Eukaryota; Metazoa; Chordata; Aves; Passeriformes; Fringillidae. The transcript is spliced from 3 exons.